GUAGGUGAACCUGCGGAAGGAUCAUUAUCAUAACGUAUCCACGUAUAAACUAACUUUAAUUGAUGUGAAACGUAACUGUUUAACACCUUCGAUAGUUAAUUGAUUGCUGUACUCUCACAUGUGUUUGAUUAAAGCAUAUUGAGUAUGGACUUGGCUCACUUUCGGGUGAGACUAGCAUUAACUGUUGGAGUGUAAUUAACCUUUUAAUCAUUUAUUUACCCAUUGAACCGAUUAACUAUUAUUAAUAGUU
This 250-nucleotide unclassified non-coding RNA is filed under the name plant metagenome. RNAcentral's name for it is "partial contains small subunit ribosomal RNA, internal transcribed spacer 1, and 5.8S ribosomal RNA". The record is from RNAcentral.